Molecule: long non-coding RNA, 3714 nt
Organism: Numida meleagris (helmeted guineafowl)
Lineage: Eukaryota; Metazoa; Chordata; Aves; Galliformes; Numididae
Exons: 3
Source: RefSeq, a predicted model, not a curated record
AGGUCCAAGCUACUGUGUGCCUCCAGUAAUGUCAUCAAGCACUGGCCCAUGAAAGAACACAAUCUUCAACCACAAAUCGACUAUCGAUCAUCUUAUGUUAUGUCAACCUGCAUCAUGACGGGCAAUUGUACAAGCGUUGCGGUGUGUUGGAUCCUUGUAUUGGGGAAGGCUCACCCUUCAACCAGCUCAAUCAUUGAGUUCAUGCCAUGAUGGGAGGGAGUGUAUGAGAACUGAUGAGUCACAGCCUGAACCACUGAUUGGGCACCUGGGGAAAGGAGCCGGGCAGCCCUGGGAGUGGAGCCUGGCUCCACCUCUCUUAGACCUCAUUUAAGGGUUGACUGCCACUGAGGAAGGAUCUCUUUCUGGAGAUUGCUCAUUGGUGGAGUUUUCCCCUGUGAGCCUAGAUCUUUGGAGGCAGACAGCUAAUGAAUCAAAAGAAAUAAUAUGGACCAGCCAAUUAGCAACAUCAAAGCAUGCACACAUUAGAAGGAGAAGGAAGAGCAAGGCGUGCUGGUUCUCAUUCAUCGCUGGUGAAAAAUGCGAAGCUAAUGGCGGUGACUGUGCAGAACAACAGCGGACUGCAGCUGAUAACUUGCUCUAUCAAAUAAUGUUAUUGUACAUUUUCUAUCUGUUCUCUACUCCAUGGAAAUAAGUAGCAGACGUUACUUUCAGAGGAGUAUACUCAUUUUUUUGGGGGGUGAUCUUUUCUUUCUAAAUCACGCACUGCAAGAUCUCCCGAGAGAACACAAAGACCAAAAUACAAAGCCUGACUCAAUGCCAGAGCAGAGGGAAAGAGAAGAGAUGUGUCAAGCCGAGAGUUUUACCACCUUCUGAAUGAGGGUCAACAGCUGUGGGUAUAAUUGAAGAUUCCAUUUCUGUACCGUGAGAAUCAAGGAAUGCCACUUUCUAACACCACACUGGCGUUAGAGAGUUUUCUUGCCUGAUUUCAGAUGGUGGCAUGAGUGCAAUGCAUGAUACGGGACACUCCGUGCCUGGCAGCAGCUCCUGGCCCAACUGGAAGGGAGCAUCAUAUGGCAUAAAGGCCUUGCAAACCCCACAGCUGGCAGCGCUCCUCCCACCAUGUCCUCGACCAGCCAGAAUAAGGAGGAGAACAGACCCUCAGGGCACUCCUGGAUCCGCAGUGGUGACUAGCUUUUCUUUCCUUUGAUUUUUUUUUUCUCUUUCCCUCCUUCUCUUUUCUUUUUGCUCGUCUUUCAAUAAGUGAAAGCACACCCUUCCUUCGUCUUCUUUCUCAGUCAGUUUGGAGGGAUUAAGGUCAGUAUAGAGAAACGUAAGCCUCUUCAGCUUGCAAGAGAGACAAUCCUGGUACUCCCUCUCCUAACCAUGCCAUUCCAGUGCUCUCCAGCUUGUUACCGUUCUGGUACCCCUUCGAUCAGGCCAUAGCUCCGGGAGCAGCAUUUCCAGUUUUGUACGGAGUGAUUGAUUAUCCCAACUCACUGUACUUCAUGGAGGAUCGAGGCACAGUGGUACUUUUACAUGAGACUGCAGAGUAGCCUAGGAGGCAGUGCCACCACAAUUCAAGCAGUAGCUGAUGUAUCAGUCCACAGGGUGGUUGCGUUCACCUUUUGCCUCUGUGCCUGUACGUGCACUUUACACUUUCUUGCUUACUUUAACAGGCCCGACCGAAAGUUCAGACUGUGUUAUACAAGCGAGCAGGUUCUUUCCAGCAGUGGAGCUUGUUUAGCCAUCUUCCAAACCUCAGUGAUCAGGGCAGUGGUUAAGAACAAGCUUCAAACAAGAAGUGCGAGUAAAAUUUUGAUGGGAUGUAAGUAUUAGGUUCAUUACUCUGCUUGCUGUAAGAGAAGGUCCGAAAGAGGACUUCCCACUCUUGGUGUCCUCCACCUUUCUUCUUUCCAGAACUUGAUGUACUUCUUCACUGUCAUGAUGGACCAAGAAAUUAUUCUUUUGUCCUGUUUUCUAUGCUUGUUUUAGGAAGAUCACACUGAUGGAGAAGUUGCUUGAUUGAAGGAAGUUCCAUUCGUUAUGAUCAUGGUUGGUUGCUGCUCACAAUAUAGCAUCUAUUUGAAAGACCGCUCUUUGUGAGUAAAGGUACAGAGAAAUUUAAAUCACAACCAAUAGUCAUGGAAAACCUGUACAAAGAUUAGUGUGGUUAGUUGUACCGUGGACUAAGUCAGCUACAUUACCCAAGCCAGCAGCACAUGCUUGUAGCAUGGGAAACCAACUCUUAUCAUGGGCUGUAUCAAAAGAGGGUGGCCAGUAGGAUGAGUGAGUGGAUUGACAGCUCGCCCUUGCCCCCUGCUUCGGCCCUUGUGAGGCACCAUCUGCAGUACUGUCUCCAGGUCUGGGGACCGCAGCACAAGAAAGAUGUGGGAGCUGCCGGAGCAGGCCCUGAGCAGGCCCAUGGAGGUGAUCAAAGAACUCGAGCAGCUCUGCUGUGAAGGCAGGCUGAGGGAGCUGGGCUCAUUCAGUCUAGAGAAGAGGAAGAUCCGGGAAGACUUCAUUACAGCCUUCCUUGUAUUUAAAUGGAGCUUAUAAUCAGAAGGUAGAUGUGCUUUUGAUGUGAUGUGAUUACAAUAGGAAGAGGGAGAAUGUCUUUAAACACAAAGAGGUGAGAGAUUUCCAUUGGAUGUCACUCAGAAGGUGAAACAUCACUGGAGGUGUUCAAGGGCAGCUUGAACGGCGCGCUGGGCCCCUUGAUACGGUGGUUGGCAACGCCGCCUACAAACAAGGGUGUCAGAACAAGAUGAUCUCCGAUGCCCCUUCCAACCAACCCAAGCCAAGCCGUUCUAUGAUUCUGUGCUCUUUUAACAAGGAGUCAUAUAAUGUUCACACACAAGCGCGACCAUAGCACCAUAUCACAGAAUCACAGAACUGCUUGGAUUGGAAGACAGUCUUGUUCCACACCCCUGCUGUGGACAGCUUUGCCAGCCACUGUAUGAUGUUGCCCGGGCCCCAUUCAAGCUGGCCUUGGACACCUCUAGGGACGGGGCAUCCACAACUUCUCUGGGCAGCCACUUUUGCCCUCUGAAUGAAAAAUUUCUCACUAGCAUCUAAUCUAAAUAGCUUCUCUUUAAGUUUAAAGACUUUCUCCCUUGUCCUGUCCAUCUCAGACCAUGUGAAAAGUCUGUCUGCUUUCUCUCUAUGAGCUCCAUUCAAAUCUGGAAGGCUUUACUGCGUAACUAACAAAAAAAUAGAGCUGUCAUCCUGAAACUGCCCUUUGUCAUUUUCUGUUAAAGUCAUGUUCUCUGGGUGAACUUUGCUUAUUGUAAGCGUAUUAACAUACCAAAACAGACUGCCACCCCAAAGCCUACCCUACCCGCCUCCAAGGUGCGACCCUGCUUCCUCAAGCAUGUGCUCGGAUUUUUUUAGAAGCAAAGCAAAGAGAAUUUACAGCAAUGGUAACAAUGGUAUCUGUGGCCAGAGUUUCCCGUCCUUUAGGAAGACACCAUCACAUGCAAGCUCGGAGGACGUCGCUGACUUCUGGGAUCAGUUGAUGGGCUGAGCCUCUUUUCCCCCUCCAGAUGUGUACCCAUUGGAUGAGAUGCACAUAGCUGGUUAGGCUGAGUGCUUCUCUGGGAACCUUAGAAACUGUCAGUGCUUGUCCCGUUAGAGAAAUUCUCAGUCAGUGUGGCAUCAGAAUAGUAAGUCCUCUUUAUUGUGUUUUACACACAUCUUAUAUAUCCUUCACUGGUAAGCAGUAAAUCCACUCACAGUUAAUUAUCCUUAAGUUCU